Molecule: small nuclear RNA, 107 nt
Organism: Perognathus longimembris pacificus (Pacific pocket mouse)
Lineage: Eukaryota; Metazoa; Chordata; Mammalia; Rodentia; Heteromyidae
Source: RefSeq, a predicted model, not a curated record
GUGCUCACUUCAGCAGCACAUAUACUAAAAUUGGAAUGAUACAGGGAAGAUUAUAAUGGCCACUGUGCAAGGAUGACAUGCAGAUUCGUGAAGCAUUGCAUAUUUAA